UUAACGGCGUCAAGCGGCGGACGGGUGAGUAAUGCCNAGGAAAUUGCCCUGAUGUGGGGGAUAACCAUUGGAAACGAUGGCUAAUACCGCAUAAUCUCUUCNGAGCAAAGAGGGGGACCUUCGGGCCUCUCGCGUCAGGAUAUGCCUAGGUGGGAUUAGCUAGUUGGUGAGGUAAUGGCUCACCAAGGCGACGAUCCCUAGCUGGUCUGAGAGGAUGAUCAGCCACACUGGAACUGAGACACGGUCCAGACUCCUACGGGAGGCAGCAGUGGGGAAUAUUGCACAAUGGGCGCAAGCCUGAUGCAGCCNUGCCGCGUGUAUGAAGAANGCCUUCCGGUUGUAAAGUACUUUCAGCAGUGAGGAAGGGGUGUACGUUAAUAGCGUGCAUCUUUGACGUUAGCUGCAGAANAANCACCGGCUAACUCCGUGCCAGCAACCGCGGUAAUACNGAGGGUGCGAGCGUUAAUCGGAAUUACUGGGCNGUAAAGCGCAUGCAGGUGGUUUGUUAAGUCAGAUGUGAAAAGCCCGGGGCUCAACCUCGGGAAUUGCAUUUGAAACUGG
RNAcentral lists this ribosomal RNA (561 nucleotides) under Vibrio tapetis. RNAcentral describes it as "bacterial SSU rRNA". It matches the Rfam family "Bacterial small subunit ribosomal RNA", at positions 79 to 636 of the family's 1533-position model. Lineage: Bacteria; Pseudomonadati; Pseudomonadota; Gammaproteobacteria; Vibrionales; Vibrionaceae. The record is from RNAcentral.